CCUGAACUUCCUACUGACUUUUGACAAGUUCUUUAGAAAAUAAUGAGAAAAUAUAUAUGCGUAAGUCAGAUUCUAAAAACAAACAAUGUAAAUGAUUUCCAGGGAGCCUCUUCUCAUCUUUCCGUGUUUACCUCUUGAUUCAUCUGCCUCCAAGCUCUGCCUGGUGACAGCCUUUCACUCCUGCUGCUCACAAUCAGCCCUGUGAUGUAAGCCUCAUCUGAACCUUUCCCAGAGUGACAUGCAGGCAUCUGCUCUGCCAGGAUUAAAGGCCAGAGAAACGAACUGAACUGUUCUAAUUGCCUUGACUGCUAAACAGGAAGAAAGAAGAAGCUCCUACCCUUUGUAACAGCAUGGAUGGAACUGGAAAGCAUUAUGCUGAGUGAAAUAAGCCAGGGGUUGAAAGACAAAUACCAUAUGAUCUCACCUUUAACAGGAACCUAAACAACAAAACAAACAAAUAAACGCGAGGAGAAAACUUGUGAAGAAGACAUCAGCUGGCAGAGAGGGCCUUGCCUUUGCUGAUGGAUCAGAACAGGAUGAAAGCCAUCUCUUCAGUUCAGUAUUUAUGGUACUUUAGGCUGAGACUUUGAAGCUUUGCCUCAUUUCAGCCAUUCAUAGAGGAGCAUGUUUUUCUAAGGAAAAAAAUCUUAAG
Artibeus jamaicensis (Jamaican fruit-eating bat) is the source of this 652-nucleotide long non-coding RNA. RefSeq lists it as uncharacterized. The record is from RefSeq and is a predicted model, not a curated record. NCBI's taxonomy places the organism in Eukaryota, Metazoa, Chordata, Mammalia, Chiroptera, Phyllostomidae. The transcript is spliced from 3 exons.